This 483-nucleotide ribosomal RNA is filed under the name uncultured bacterium. RNAcentral describes it as "partial 16S ribosomal RNA". It matches the Rfam family "Bacterial small subunit ribosomal RNA", at positions 30 to 507 of the family's 1533-position model. The record is from RNAcentral.
UUGAACGCUGGCGGCAGGCCUAACACAUGCCAGUCGAGCGGAUGAAGGGAGCUUGCUCCUGGAUUCAGCGGCGGACGGGUGAGUAAUGCCUAGGAAUCUGCCUGGUAGUGGGGGAUAACGUCCGGAAACGGGCGCUAAUACCGCAUACGUCCUGAGGGAGAAAGUGGGGGAUCUUCGGACCUCACGCUAUCAGAUGAGCCUAGGUCGGAUUAGCUAGUUGGUGGGGUAAAGGCCUACCAAGGCGACGAUCCGUAACUGGUCUGAGAGGAUGAUCAGUCACACUGGAACUGAGACACGGUCCAGACUCCUACGGGAGGCAGCAGUGGGGAAUAUUGGACAAUGGGCGAAAGCCUGAUCCAGCCAGGCCGCGUGUGUGAAGAAGGUCUUCGGAUUGUAAAGCACUUUAAGUUGGGAGGAAGGGCAGUAAGUUAAUACCUUGCUGUUUUGACGUUACCAACAGAAUAAGCACCGGCUAACUUCGUG